Molecule: ribosomal RNA, 400 nt
Filed under: uncultured bacterium
Lineage: Bacteria
Description: bacterial SSU rRNA
Rfam family: Bacterial small subunit ribosomal RNA
Source: RNAcentral
UAGGGAAUAUUGGACAAUGGGCGAAAGCCUGAUCCAGCAACGCCGCGUGAGUGCUAAGGCCUUCGGGUUAUAAAACUCUUUUAGUAGGGAAGAUAAUGACGGUACCUACAGAAAAAGCUCCGGCUAACUUCGUGCCAGCAGCCGCGGUAAUACGAGGGGAGCUAGCGUUACUCGGAAUUAUUGGGCGUAAAGCGUGCGUAGGCGGCUUAGUAAGUUAGAAGUGAAAUCCUUGGGCUUAACUCAAGAACUGCUUUUAAUACUGCUGAGCUAGAGUGUUAGAGGGGAUAGCGGAAUUUCUAGUGUAGAGGUGAAAUUCGUAGAUACUAGAAGGAACACCGGUGGCGAAAGCGGCUAUCUGGCUAAAUACUGACGCUGUUGCACGAAAGCGUGGGGAGCAAAC